UACGGAGGGGGCUAGCGUUGUUCGGAAUUACUGGGCGUAAAGCGCACGUAGGCGGCUUUGCAAGUCAGAGGUGAAAGCCCGGGGCUCAACCCCGGAAUUGCCUUUGAGACUGCAUCGCUAGAAUUGUGGAGAGGUAAGUGGAAUUCCGAGUGUAGAGGUGAAAUUCGUAGAUAUUCGGAAGAACACCAGUGGCGAAGGCGACUUACUGGACACAUAUCGACGCUGAGGUGCGAAAGCGUGGGGAGCAAACAGG
RNAcentral lists this ribosomal RNA (253 nucleotides) under uncultured bacterium. RNAcentral's name for it is "partial 16S ribosomal RNA". It matches the Rfam family "Bacterial small subunit ribosomal RNA", at positions 524 to 776 of the family's 1533-position model. The record is from RNAcentral.